Molecule: ribosomal RNA, 519 nt
Filed under: uncultured eukaryote
Lineage: Eukaryota
Description: bacterial SSU rRNA
Rfam family: Eukaryotic small subunit ribosomal RNA
Source: RNAcentral
AGGGCACCACCUGGAGUGGGGCCUGCGGCUUAAUUUGACUCAGGAAAGGGAAACUCGCCCGGACCGGACACUGAUUGGAUUGACAGAAUGAUGGCUCUUUCUUGAUUCAUGGGGGGGUGGUGCAUGGCCGUUCUUAGGUGGUGGAGUGAUUGGUCUGGUUAAUUCCGAUAACAAACUCUACUCUAGCCUGCUAAAUAGUGGAUUUGGUUCUUUGGUUUUUGUUUGGUUGUCGGCCCCUCACGGGGUCGGCGCCUUACAAUUAACUAGACACCACCCAAACUACGACUUCUGUCAGGGACUGGCGGCGUUUCACCCUCAAGAAAUCAACCAGCUUUUUGUCUGUGAUGUCCUUAGAUGGGCAGGGCCGCACAACCGCUACACUGAAAAGCAUAGCGGGUUUCUCUUUCUGACCUGCCCCGAAGGGGGCGGGCAAUCCCACCGACUCUUUUCCGCAUUGGUAUCGGGGCUUGUCAUUGUUGCCCUUGAACGACGAAUCUACAGUAAGCACGAUUCAUCCAG